AAGGAGCAAGAACUAUCAAGAUUCAAUACAGUGUUUCUUUAAUGAUCGCAAAAUGUUGGACAAUAUUAUGCAUUUAGGAAAAAGUUUUUUUUUUUUUUCAAGCGAUUCGAAAUGAUUCUGACGUGUAAAUCGAUCAUUUGAAUUUGGUAUAAGGGCGAAAGACUAAUCAAACUAUCCAGUAGCUGGUUUCUUCUGAAAUUUCCUUCAGAAAUAGCUGGAAUACGUAAUAAAGCUGUUAUAUUCGGUAAAGCGAAUGAUUAGAGGAAUUGUAGGACGAAACGUCUUCAACCUAUUCUCAAACUUUUAAUGAGUAUGACGUCUCUUGUUUGCCUUAAUGGGCGUAAGCAUUGAAUGUGUAUUCCACGUACGCCAUUUUUGAUAAGCAGAUUUGGCGCUAUGAAAGUUGAGUUGAAGUAAAGUUAUAAAUUAUUUUGCUAAUAUUAUUUACUUUAACUAUCAUUAUUUAUCUU
RNAcentral lists this non-coding RNA (470 nucleotides) under Onchocerca ochengi. RNAcentral describes it as "Eukaryotic large subunit ribosomal RNA". It matches the Rfam family "Eukaryotic large subunit ribosomal RNA", at positions 849 to 1235 of the family's 3401-position model. Lineage: Eukaryota; Metazoa; Nematoda; Chromadorea; Rhabditida; Onchocercidae. The record is from Rfam by way of RNAcentral.